GNGACCCCAGGAUGGGCGAGGCC
Molecule: ribosomal RNA, 23 nt
Filed under: Gongora sp. SRR-2011
Lineage: Eukaryota; Viridiplantae; Streptophyta; Magnoliopsida; Asparagales; Orchidaceae
Description: partial 26S ribosomal RNA
Source: RNAcentral